GUAACAGUAUUACAAGUCCGGUUAUAAGAUCCCUCAGAAUCGCAAUUACAAGGUGUACACCCCUAAAAUAUUUAUAUACAUAUAUGUGUAUGAACAUAAUCUAUAGUAUUCCAUAGCUUUGUUUUUACGUCCUAUUACAUGGGGUUUGCAGAGGCAAUGACCUACAAGCUGAUCGCAAGGAGCGACUCUUCCAUCUUCAAGUUCAACUGUACCUGGUGGAUAACACUGACACAAUUUGCAUCCAUCUUCUCUAUUAUCGGAUAAAGCAUCUCCAUAAUAACCUAAUGAAUGAUUUAUCAAUGCUCAUGAGACACAUCACUAUUUCCAAAAAUAUUGUAAAUGUUGUGUUAAACUGUUCUCUUAAUAUACCCGAAAGACAUUCUUCGCAAUGAAAGCCAGCAGUGUUAUUGACACAUUUCAGACAUUCUCCGGUUUCGUGAUUACAAUUUCGUACUGCAUUUAAAUCAAUGUUAUUAUUACAAUCACAAGGUCGACAAGCUAUUCCCUUUUCGGGAUUACCGAAGUAACCAUCUGAACAAGUUUCACAUCUUGGUCCUAAAAAGAAUCAAAAAUAAUUUGAAAUUAUAAAAUUACUUUUAAUUUUACAAAUUGGAUAUAAGAAACGAACGUGUAUGAAAACUAUCUUUUUACCUGUUCUUCCUAUUGGACAUUCAGAACAAAUCGGAUCAGGAUUAUUACCAAGAAGAAUGCAAGGACCGUUAUCAGGACACGGACAUGGCUUACAAUCGUUGGAAGUGCCUUUUAAAGGAUACCCAUAAUAUCCACGACUACAUAAUUCACAAUUACUACCAGCGGUAUUAUGUUGACAAAUACAUUGACCUGUGAUAUAUUAACCCAAUAGAUAUAUGAAUAAUUUGAGAGACAAACAUAAAAUUCAAUCUAUGUACACAAUAUUUACUCACCCGUUUCAGCUUCGCAAAUAUCUGCAUGUCCGUUACAAUUACAUGGAACGCAAAGAGCAAAAGGACCACCAUUUGGUGGAUCAUGAUGAAAACCAGGUGCGCAAGAUUCACAAAAUUGACCAACAUAGCCGUGAGGACAAUUACAAUGUUCAACCCAAUCAGCAGGUUCACCGGCAGCACCGCGAAGUGCAGUUUCCAAUUUAACGUCAUCCAGAAAACCUCUACCUAAUUACACGAAAAACAUAAUUGAUAAAACGAAUUUCUUUAAGAUUUCUUAUUACACAAGAAACUUCACCUUGAUGCGUGUAAGUUCCACGUAUCUUUAUAGCGGUUAAGUUGGAGAGAAUGGACAUAAAAGCUCUGGCAGAUAAUCUCGGUUGCCAACCAUAUUCGCUAUGCUCGUGUAAUCUAAAUCUAUAUUCUUGUGGCUAAAAAAAUAUUUGAAAGCAUUAAAACCAAACGUACAAGAUAAAUACGAAUUUAAUAUUA
Vespula vulgaris is the source of this 1412-nucleotide long non-coding RNA. RefSeq lists it as uncharacterized. The transcript is spliced from 2 exons. The record is from RefSeq and is a predicted model, not a curated record. Lineage: Eukaryota; Metazoa; Arthropoda; Insecta; Hymenoptera; Vespidae.